Long non-coding RNA from Zea mays, 255 nucleotides. RefSeq lists it as uncharacterized. Lineage: Eukaryota; Viridiplantae; Streptophyta; Magnoliopsida; Poales; Poaceae. The transcript has 3 exons. The record is from RefSeq and is a predicted model, not a curated record.
UCUUGGGAUCCGGUACCAACUCCAAAAGCUAUGGUUGGAAAAGGCUCCCCAAGGUUCAACAUAGGUGGUUCCCCAAAGUUGCGUAGGUUCAUUCCUACAACAAGUGCUACUAAAAAGAAGACUUCUCCUAAAUGCAGUGGGGCAAAAAAGAGUGGAAGUUCUCCAAGAGUAGUGAAACAAAGAGCGGAUUGGAAUCCAGGCCUUGAGAGGUCUCUUGUUGACAUUCUCCAUGAAUUUAAAGAUAGUGGAUAUAGA